GAUGAACGCUGGCGGCAUGCCUAAUACAUGCAAGUCGAGCGAACAGACGAGGAGCUUGCUCCUCGGACGUUAGCGGCGGACGGGUGAGUAACACGUGGAUAAUCUACCUAUAAGACUGAGAUAACUUCGGGAAACCGGAGCUAAUACCGGAUAAUAUAUUGAACCGCAAUGUUCAUUAAUUAAAGACGGUUUUGCUGUCACUUAUAGAUGGAUCCGCGCCGCAUUAGCUAGUUGGUAAGUUAAACGCUUACCAAGCCAAAGAUCUGUACCCGGCCUGAGAGGGUAAGCGGCAAAACAAGAAAUGAAACAAAAAAAAGACAACUUAGAUACGCAGCAGUAGGGAAGCUUCCGCAGUAGGCGAGAGCCUGACGGAGCGACGCCGCGUAAGUGAUGAAGAGCGUCGGAUCGUGAACCUCUGUGAUUCGGGAAGAACAACUGUGUGAAUAACUAUGCACGUCUUGACGGUGCCUAAUCAGAAAGCCACGGCUAACUACGUG
RNAcentral lists this ribosomal RNA (497 nucleotides) under uncultured bacterium. RNAcentral describes it as "partial 16S ribosomal RNA". It matches the Rfam family "Bacterial small subunit ribosomal RNA", at positions 28 to 507 of the family's 1533-position model. The record is from RNAcentral.